AUGUCUGAGGAGUGGGAGGAAUUAUUCCCCCUGGUUUCUGUUAGAAAAUUGGUUCGUGAGAUUUCGGACCAUAACCCUUUGUUGAUUAACUCUGGGGAAGAGGGACGAGAGGCUCCCAAACCUCGCGAAUUUCUCUUUGACCUUUCUUGGGUCAAGGACGAACGUUUCCUUCCUUUGGUCAGUAAAAUCUGGGCUCGAGGAGUCUUCUCUAAAGACCCCAUCGAUAUCCUGAAUAUUAAGUUGAAGAGAUUCCAAACUUUCUUUAAAGGGUGGGGCUCAGACAAAUUUGGUCACAAUAAAAGGUUGAAGGAGGAGCUUAGGCUCGAAUUAGCCACGCUAGAAGAACUAGAGGAGGAUGGACCCCUUACCCCAGAGCUGUAUAGUAGGAAAAUCGAUGUGUGUUUUGAACUCCAUGAGAUUUUGGUUAAUGAGGAAAUAUACUGGCUCCAGCAAUCACACGAGCGUUGGUUGCUUAAAGGAGACCUGAACACUGACUAUUUCCAUAAAAUUGCCAACGAACGUAAGCGUAAAAAUACUAUCCACUCUCUUAAAGCUGACGAGGUGGAAAUAGAGGGUACAGAUAAUCUGAUUGCCCAUGCUACUGAUUUUUAUAAGGAACUUUUCGGCCCAGCUCAGGGCAAUCAUUUUCACUUGGAUCCUAAUACUUGGUCCGAGAGUGAAAAGCUGAGUGAGGAUGACAGUAGAGAUCUUUGUCGCGAAUUCACAGAAACUGAAGUUAGAGAUGCUCUCUUCUCUAUGGCCACCAAUAGGGCACGGAUAACAUUCCUGUCGAAUUUUAUCAAAUAUGUUGGGAUAUAG
This 819-nucleotide ribosomal RNA is filed under the name Triticum aestivum (bread wheat). Its description in RNAcentral is "partial small subunit ribosomal RNA". The record is from RNAcentral. Lineage: Eukaryota; Viridiplantae; Streptophyta; Magnoliopsida; Poales; Poaceae.